GACGAACGCUGGCGGCGUGCUUAACACAUGCAAGUCGAACGGAAAGGCCCUGCUUUUGUGGGGUGCUCGAGUGGCGAACGGGUGAGUAACACGUGAGUAACCUGCCCUUGACUUUGGGAUAACUUCAGGAAACUGGGGCUAAUACCGGAUAGGAGCUCCUGCUGCAUGGUGGGGGUUGGAAAGUUUCGGCGGUUGGGGAUGGACUCGCGGCUUAUCAGCUUGUUGGUGGGGUAGUGGCUUACCAAGGCUUUGACGGGUAGCCGGCCUGAGAGGGUGACCGGCCACAUUGGGACUGAGAUGCGGCCCAGACUCCUACGGGAGGCAGCAGUGGGGAAUAUUGCACAAUGGGCGGAGGCCUGAUGCAGCAACGCCGCGUGCGGGAUGACGGCCUUCGGGUUGUAAACCGCUUUCGCCUGUGACGAGGCGUGAGUGACGGUAAUGGGUAAAGAAGCACCGGCUAACUACGUG
This 468-nucleotide ribosomal RNA is filed under the name uncultured bacterium. Its description in RNAcentral is "partial 16S ribosomal RNA". It matches the Rfam family "Bacterial small subunit ribosomal RNA", at positions 28 to 507 of the family's 1533-position model. The record is from RNAcentral.